GCUUACGGCCACACUCCCUGAGCACGCCCGAUCUCGUCUGAUCUCGGAAGCUAAGCAGGUCGGGCCCGGUUAGUACUUGGAUGGGAGACCGCCUGGGAAUACCAGGUGCGUAAGCC
This 116-nucleotide ribosomal RNA is filed under the name Esox lucius (northern pike). Lineage: Eukaryota; Metazoa; Chordata; Actinopteri; Esociformes; Esocidae. The record is from RNAcentral.